GAAAAAUUUUCUGCACAGAAAUAUAUGAGGAUACAGUUUCCAUGGAAUAUGGAAAAUGAUAAUAGAACUUCAGAGAGAAAACAAUGUAAAAUUUUCAUCUGUUGAAAAACUUAUCCAGGUCAUGAACUCAAGGCCAUGGGAUCGAGCACUGCAUCGGGCUCUCCUUUCAGUGGCAUGUCUGCUUUUCCCUCUUCUUCUAUGCUCU
This 205-nucleotide long non-coding RNA is filed under the name Mustela putorius furo (domestic ferret). RNAcentral's name for it is "lncRNA (ENSMPUG00000026777.1)". The record is from RNAcentral. Lineage: Eukaryota; Metazoa; Chordata; Mammalia; Carnivora; Mustelidae.